AACGAACGCUGGCGGCGUGCCUAACACAUGCAAGUCGUGCGAGAAAGUUCCUUCGGGAGCGAGUAAAGCGGCGCACGGGUGAGUAACACGUAGGUAACCUGCCCCCCAGUCUGGAACAACUAGAGGAAACUCUAGCUAAUGCCGGAUGAGACCACGAUCCCUUCGGGGGGUUGCGGCCAAAGAUGGCCUCUACUUGUAAGCUAUCGCUGAGGGAUGGGCCUGCGGGCCAUUAGCUUGUUGGUGAGGUAACGGCUCACCAAGGCUGUGAUGGCUAGCUGGUCUGAGAGAUGACCAGCCACACUGGGACUGAGACACGG
Molecule: ribosomal RNA, 317 nt
Filed under: uncultured bacterium
Lineage: Bacteria
Description: bacterial SSU rRNA
Rfam family: Bacterial small subunit ribosomal RNA
Source: RNAcentral